AUACCGUCGUAGUCUUAACCAUAAACUAUGCCGACUAGGGAUCGGGCGAUGUUACUAUCUUGACUCGCUCGGCACCUUACGAGAAAUCAAAGUUUUGGGUUCUGGGGGAGUAUGGUCGCAAGGCUGAAAACUUAAAGAAAUUGACGGAAGGGCACCACCAGGAGUAAACCAUGCCUAGCCGCUGGCUCUGCGCCUGAUAGCACGACCCAUAGGGUGGUGGUGUUCUUUGAAAUGUUGCUAGUCCCCUAGGGGGCAACACGCUUAAAGUGCGGGGACCUCCAAUACUUUUACCAUCCUAAGCCUGUGUUUUAUUGCGCAGGUGGCCAAGUUAAUAGCUUGGGUACGGGAAAAAUUGGUAGGGUGGACUAUCCGCAGCCAAGCCUCUAUUUUCCUAGAGGAAGGUUCAGAGACUAGACAAGCGUGGGUUGGUAGGGAAUACCGAUUUAAGAUAUAGUCCAACUCAAGGUGAAAGCCUUGCUAGUAUCUCCUAGAAAUGGGAGCCUGCGGCUUAAUUUGACUCAACACGG
RNAcentral lists this ribosomal RNA (527 nucleotides) under uncultured fungus. RNAcentral's name for it is "partial 18S ribosomal RNA". It matches the Rfam family "Eukaryotic small subunit ribosomal RNA", at positions 1012 to 1608 of the family's 1831-position model. Lineage: Eukaryota; Fungi. The record is from RNAcentral.